Non-coding RNA from Triticum aestivum (bread wheat), 135 nucleotides. NCBI's taxonomy places the organism in Eukaryota, Viridiplantae, Streptophyta, Magnoliopsida, Poales, Poaceae. The record is from Rfam.
CUGCUACUCCCUCCGUUCCGAAUUAUUUGUCUUGGAUUUGUCUAGAUACAGAUGUAUCUAGACUCAUUUUAGUGCUAGAUACUUCUGUAUCUAGACAAAUCCGAGACAAGUAAUUUAGAACGAAGGGAGUACAUG